GCCUGGCUGGCCCAGUCAGUGGAGUGUGAGACUCUUGAUCUCAGGAGCGUGAGUUCAAGCCCCACGCUGGGCG
Molecule: transfer RNA, 73 nt
Filed under: Felis catus (domestic cat)
Lineage: Eukaryota; Metazoa; Chordata; Mammalia; Carnivora; Felidae
Also listed under: 2 other names
Rfam family: tRNA
About the family: Transfer RNA (tRNA) molecules are approximately 80 nucleotides in length. Their secondary structure includes four short double-helical elements and three loops (D, anti-codon, and T loops). Further hydrogen bonds mediate the characteristic L-shaped molecular structure. tRNAs have two regions of fundamental functional importance: the anti-codon, which is responsible for specific mRNA codon recognition, and the 3' end, to which the tRNAs corresponding amino acid is attached (by aminoacyl-tRNA synthetases). tRNAs cope with the degeneracy of the genetic code in two manners: having more than one tRNA (with a specific anti-codon) for a particular amino acid; and 'wobble' base-pairing, i.e. permitting non-standard base-pairing at the 3rd anti-codon position.
Source: Rfam by way of RNAcentral